Molecule: ribosomal RNA, 279 nt
Filed under: uncultured bacterium
Lineage: Bacteria
Description: partial 16S ribosomal RNA
Rfam family: Bacterial small subunit ribosomal RNA
Source: RNAcentral
UGCCAGCAGCCGCGGUAAGACGGGGGAUGCAAGCGUUAUUCGGAAUUACUGGGCUUAAAGAGUUCGUAGGUGGUUGAAAAAGUUGGUGGUGAAAUCCCAGAGCUUAACUCUGGAACUGCCAUCAAAACUUUUCAGCUAGAGUUUGAUAGAGGAAAGCAGAAUUUCUAGUGUAGAGGUGAAAUUCGUAGAUAUUAGAAAGAAUACCAAUUGCGAAGGCAGCUUUCUGGAUCAUUACUGACACUGAGGAACGAAAGCAUGGGUAGCGAAGAGGAUUAGAUA